RNAcentral lists this ribosomal RNA (272 nucleotides) under uncultured prokaryote. Its description in RNAcentral is "partial 16S ribosomal RNA". It matches the Rfam family "Bacterial small subunit ribosomal RNA", at positions 524 to 796 of the family's 1533-position model. The record is from RNAcentral.
UACGUAGGGGACGAGCGUUGUCCGGAAUUACUGGGCGUAAAGGGCGCGCAGGCUGCGCGUCGAGUCGGCUGUUAAAGAUCCGGGCUUAACCCGGUGAAGCGGUCGAGACCGACGAGCUGGAGUGCUGCAGAGGCAAGUGGAAUUCCCGGUGUAGCGGUGAAAUGCGUAGAUAUCGGGAAGAACACCGGUGGCGAAGGCGACUUGCUGGGCAGCAACUGACGCUGAGGCGCGAAGGCGUGGGGAGCGAACGGGAUUAGAUACCCGCGUAGUCA